This 83-nucleotide transfer RNA is filed under the name Cucumis melo var. momordica (snap melon). Its description in RNAcentral is "tRNA-Gly". The stretch from base 1 to 73 matches the Rfam family "tRNA". From Rfam's summary of the family: Transfer RNA (tRNA) molecules are approximately 80 nucleotides in length. Their secondary structure includes four short double-helical elements and three loops (D, anti-codon, and T loops). Further hydrogen bonds mediate the characteristic L-shaped molecular structure. tRNAs have two regions of fundamental functional importance: the anti-codon, which is responsible for specific mRNA codon recognition, and the 3' end, to which the tRNAs corresponding amino acid is attached (by aminoacyl-tRNA synthetases). tRNAs cope with the degeneracy of the genetic code in two manners: having more than one tRNA (with a specific anti-codon) for a particular amino acid; and 'wobble' base-pairing, i.e. permitting non-standard base-pairing at the 3rd anti-codon position. Lineage: Eukaryota; Viridiplantae; Streptophyta; Magnoliopsida; Cucurbitales; Cucurbitaceae. The record is from RNAcentral.
GCGGAUAUAGUUUAGUGGUAAAAACCCCUAGCCUUCCAAGCUAACGAUGCGGGUUCGAUUCCCGCUAUCCGCUUAUCUUAUCU